Long non-coding RNA from Prosopis cineraria, 996 nucleotides. RefSeq lists it as uncharacterized. The transcript has 3 exons. The record is from RefSeq and is a predicted model, not a curated record. Lineage: Eukaryota; Viridiplantae; Streptophyta; Magnoliopsida; Fabales; Fabaceae.
UGCAGGAAAUGGCGUGUCAGUGUCAAAUACUCGGAUUAAACUUCCGUUUGGAAGUCCUAGCUGGUUCGGAAAGGGAUGGAUCACCAUUCACCUUUCCCCUUCAAAAGAUGGAUAGAUAAGAGUCCCAUAAAUCUCUAAGUGAUAUGUCUGUCGGGACCUCCCUUAUCCCUUUUAUAUGUAAUCCUCAAUCCUACGCGAAUUUUGCACCUGAAAUCCCCCGUUUCAGGUCGAUGUUGCAGAAGCUAAACUCUGCAUGGAUCGGUUUUCCCUGUGCCUCAACUCUCUCUCUCUCUCUCUCUUGGUGAUUGUUCGGUCGUCUAUAACAGAUAAGGCUGCCAUCACUGUGACCUGAGUCUGCAGUAUAUUGCUGAUACCAUUUGCAGUCUUAUCCAAAUAAAAUGGAGAACAACUUCUGCAAAAGCUAUGCCAUCUCAAAAAAGAAAUGAAAUUGGGAAAGAAACAAUAAGCGGAUGACAUUGAACUUAAGGAAAACAAACAAGAGGGAGAGAAGCACCAAAUAUAAAAAGAGAAGAUAGGUUAUCCCCCAAGGAAAAAAAAAAAAAAUUGCCGCCAAAGACAGUUAAAGCAAAAGAUGCUUCACAUGGCGUCGUCGUCCAGAAAAUAAAAGAGAAGAAAGUGAAGGAGUGAGUCGUCAUUUGGAAUCCGUGACUUGUCACCUCAUAUAUAUGUUCUCACCACAUGCGCCACACCACACCACACUUGCCUUUUAAAAAAAUUUGACAUUGCCUAUGUACAUUGUUAUCUGCUUAUCUUUCUCUUUCCUAGUGACCCGCACAUUGUAUAAAUAUAAUAUUUGACCUUCGUUUGUUCUUUACUUUGACUUUAAGAAACUUGUGUUUGUAUUGUGUUUGUACGUGUGUGUGUGUGUGUGUGUGUGUGUGUGUGUGUUUAUACAUCUAUAUAUAUUAAUGGCAAAGUUCUUUUUUCCCCUCUCCUUGAAAAACUUAUUGGCGGGUUGGCUCCAUACCUUGCAUA